UAGCUAGUUGGUGAGGUAAAGGCUUACCAAGGCGACGAUCUGUAGCGGGUCUGAGAGGAUGAUCCGCCACACUGGAACUGAGACACGGUCCAGACUCCUACGGGAGGCAGCAGUGGGGAAUUUUGGACAAUGGGGGCAACCCUGAUCCAGCCAUGCCGCGUGAGUGAAGAAGGCCUUCGGGUUGUAAAGCUCUUUCGGCCGGGAAGAAAUCGCAUGGGCCAAUACCCUGUGUGGAUGACGGUACCGGAAUAAGAAGCACCGGCUAACUACGUGCCAGCAGCCGCGGUAAUACGUAGUGUGCGAGCGUUAAUCGGAAUUACUGGGCGUAAAGCGUGCGCAGGCGGUUUUGUAAGACAGGCGUGAAAUCCCCGGGCUUAACCUGGGAACUGCGUUUGUGACUGCAAGGCUAGAGUACGGCAGAGGGGGGUGGAAUUCCACGUGUAGCAGUGAAAUGCGUAGAGAUGUGGAGGAACACCAAUGGCGAAGGCAGCCCCCUGGGUCGAUACUGACGCUCAUGCACGAAAGCGUGGGUAGCAAACAGGAUUAGAUACCCUGGUAGUCCACGCCCUAAACUAUGUCAACUAGGUGUUGGGUGGGUAAAACCAUUUAGUACCGUAGCUAACGCGUGAAGUUGACCGCCUGGGGAGUACGGCCGCAAGGUUAAAACUCAAAGGAAUUGACGGGGACACGCACAAGCGGUGGAUGAUGUGGAUUAAUUCGAUGCAACGCGAAAAACCUUACCUACCCUUGACAUGCCAGGAACUUGCCAGAGAUGGCUUGGUGCCCGAAAGGGAGCCUGGACACAGGUGCUGCAUGGCUGUCGUCAGCUCGUGUCGUGAGAUGUUGGGUUAAGUCCCGCAACGAGCGCAACCCUUGUCGUUAAUUGCCAUCAUUUAGUUGGGCACUUUAACGAGACUGCCGGUGACAAACCGGAGGAAGGUGGGGAUGACGUCAAGUCCUCAUGGCCCUUAUGGGUAGGGCUUCACACGUCAUACAAUGGUCGGUACAAAGGGUUGCCAAGCCGCGAGGCGGAGCCAAUCCCAGAAAGCCGAUCGUAGUCCGGAUUGCAGGCUGCAACUCGCCUGCAUGAAGUCGGAAUCGCUAGUAAUCGUGGAUCAGCAUGUCACGGUGAAUACGUUCCCGGGUCUUGUACACACCGCCCGUCACACCAUGGGAGCGGGUUCCGCCAGAAGUAGGUAGCCUAACCGCAAGGGGGGCGCUUACCACGGCGGGGUUCGUGACUGGGGUGAAGUCGUAACAAGGUAGCCGUAGGGGAACCUGCGGCUG
Molecule: ribosomal RNA, 1287 nt
Filed under: metagenome
Description: bacterial SSU rRNA
Rfam family: Bacterial small subunit ribosomal RNA
Source: RNAcentral